Molecule: ribosomal RNA, 505 nt
Filed under: uncultured bacterium
Lineage: Bacteria
Description: bacterial SSU rRNA
Rfam family: Bacterial small subunit ribosomal RNA
Source: RNAcentral
CAGAACGAACGCUGGCGGCGCGUCUUAAGCAUGCAAGUCGAACGGCAAGAGGUAGCAAUACCUCCUAGAGUGGCGGACUGGUGAGUAACACGUGGGUGACAUACCCUUCAGAUGGGGAUAGCUAAUUAGAAAUAGUAGAUAAUACCGAAUACGAGCACAGGGGUUAGAGAUCUGUGAGGAAAGGAGCUAAGGCUCCGCUGAAGGAAUGGCCUGCGGCCCAUUAGCUAGUUGGUGAGGUAAGAGCCCACCAAGGCGAUGAUGGGUAUCCGGCCUUAGAGGGUGAACGGACACAUUGGGACUGAGAUACGGCCCAGACUCCUACGGGAGGCAGCAGCUAAGAAUAUUCCGCAAUGGACGAAAGUCUGACGGAGCGACGCCGCGUGGAUGAAGAAGGCCGGAAGGUUGUAAAAUCCUUUUGAAACUGAAGAAUAAGCGUUGUAGGGAAUGACAGCGUGGUGACAGUAGGUUUUGAAUAAGCAACGGCUAAUUACGUGCCAGCCGCCGC